UUAAAUGAAUUGACGGGGCCCGCACAAGCGGUGGAGCAUGUGGUUUAAUUCGAUGCAACGCGAAGAACCUUACCUGGGCUUGACAUCCCCGGGAAUCCCUUGGAAACAAGGGAGUGCCCUUCGGGGAACCUGGAGACAGGUGCUGCAUGGCUGUCGUCAGCUCGUGUCGUGAGAUGUAGGGUUAAGUCCCGCAACGAGCGCAACCCUUGUCUUUAAUUGCCAUCAUUGAGUUGGGCACUUUAAAGAGACUGCCGGUGUUAAACCGGAGGAAGGUGGGGAUGACGUCAAGUCCUCAUGGCCCUUAUGGGUAGGGCUUCACACGUCAUACAAUGGUCGGUACAGAGGGUUGCCAAGCCGCGAGGUGGAGCCAAUCCCUUAAAGCCGAUCGUAGUCCGGAUCGUAGUCUGCAACUCGACUGCGUGAAGUCGGAAUCGCUAGUAAUCGCGGAUCAGCAUGUCGCGGUGAAUACGUUCCCGGGUCUU
RNAcentral lists this ribosomal RNA (482 nucleotides) under uncultured Rhodocyclaceae bacterium. RNAcentral describes it as "bacterial SSU rRNA". It matches the Rfam family "Bacterial small subunit ribosomal RNA", at positions 901 to 1382 of the family's 1533-position model. Lineage: Bacteria; Pseudomonadati; Pseudomonadota; Betaproteobacteria; Rhodocyclales; Rhodocyclaceae. The record is from RNAcentral.